RNAcentral lists this ribosomal RNA (250 nucleotides) under uncultured bacterium. RNAcentral's name for it is "partial 16S ribosomal RNA". It matches the Rfam family "Bacterial small subunit ribosomal RNA", at positions 355 to 622 of the family's 1533-position model. The record is from RNAcentral.
UGGGGAAUAUUGGACAAUGGGGGAAACCCUGAUCCAGCCAUGCCGCGUGAGUGAUGAAGGCCUUCGGGUUGUAAAGCUCUUUUGUCAGGGACGAUAAUGACGGUACCUGAAGAAUAAGCCCCGGCUAACUUCGUGCCAGCAGCCGCGGUAAUACGAAGGGGGCUAGCGUUGUUCGGAUUUACUGGGCGUAAAGGGCGCGUAGGCGGAUUGGUAAGUCAGAAGUGAAAUCCCUGGGCUCAACCCGGGAAUU